Molecule: ribosomal RNA, 1434 nt
Filed under: uncultured organism
Description: SSU rRNA
Rfam family: Bacterial small subunit ribosomal RNA
Source: RNAcentral
GAUGAACGCUAGCUACAGGCUUAACACAUGCAAGUCGAGGGGCAGCAUUUCAGUUUGCUUGCAAACUGGAGAUGGCGACCGGCGCACGGGUGAGUAACACGUAUCCAACCUGCCGAUAACUCGGGGAUAGCCUUUCGAAAGAAAGAUUAAUACCCGAUGGUAUAAUCAGACCGCAUGGUCUUGUUAUUAAAGAGUUUCGGUUAUCGAUGGGGAUGCGUUCCAUUAGGCAGUUGGUGAGGUAACGGCUCACCAAACCUUCGAUGGAUAGGGGUUCUGAGAGGAAGGUCCCCCACAUUGGAACUGAGACACGGUCCAAACUCCUACGGGAGGCAGCAGUGAGGAAUAUUGGUCAAUGGGCGCAGGCCUGAACCAGCCAAGUAGCGUGAAGGAUGACUGCCCUAUGGGUUGUAAACUUCUUUUAUAUGGGAAUAAAGUUUUCCACGUGUGGAAUUUUGUAUGUACCAUAUGAAUAAGGAUCGGCUAACUCCGUGCCAGCAGCCGCGGUAAUACGGAGGAUCCGAGCGUUAUCCGGAUUUAUUGGGUUUAAAGGGAGCGUAGGUGGACAGUUAAGUCAGUUGUGAAAGUUUGCGGCUCAACCGUAAAAUUGCAGUUGAUACUGGCUGUCUUGAGUACAGUAGAGGUGGGCGGAAUUCGUGGUGUAGCGGUGAAAUGCUUAGAUAUCACGAAGAACUCCGAUUGCGAAGGCAGCUCACUGGACUGCAACUGACACUGAUGCUCGAAAGUGUGGGUAUCAAACAGGAUUAGAUACCCUGGUAGUCCACACAGUAAACGAUGAAUACUCGCUGUUUGCGAUAUACAGUAAGCGGCCAAGCGAAAGCAUUAAGUAUUCCACCUGGGGAGUACGCCGGCAACGGUGAAACUCAAAGGAAUUGACGGGGGCCCGCACAAGCGGAGGAACAUGUGGUUUAAUUCGAUGAUACGCGAGGAACCUUACCCGGGCUUAAAUUGCAUUUGAAUAUAUUGGAAACAGUAUAGCCGUAAGGCAAAUGUGAAGGUGCUGCAUGGUUGUCGUCAGCUCGUGCCGUGAGGUGUCGGCUUAAGUGCCAUAACGAGCGCAACCCUUAUCUUUAGUUACUAACAGGUCAUGCUGAGGACUCUAGAGAGACUGCCGUCGUAAGAUGUGAGGAAGGUGGGGAUGACGUCAAAUCAGCACGGCCCUUACGUCCGGGGCUACACACGUGUUACAAUGGGGGGUACAGAAGGCAGCUACCUGGUGACAGGAUGCUAAUCCCAAAAGCCUCUCUCAGUUCGGAUCGAAGUCUGCAACCCGACUUCGUGAAGCUGGAUUCGCUAGUAAUCGCGCAUCAGCCAUGGCGCGGUGAAUACGUUCCCGGGCCUUGUACACACCGCCCGUCAAGCCAUGAAAGCCGGGGGUACCUGAAGUACGUAACCGCAAGGAGCGUCCUAGGGUAA